GCCGAUAUAGCUCAGUUGGUAGAGCAUCUCACUUGUAAUGAGAAUGUCCUCCGUUCGACUCGGGGUAUCGGCUCCA
Molecule: transfer RNA, 76 nt
Filed under: Desulfobacter hydrogenophilus
Lineage: Bacteria; Pseudomonadati; Thermodesulfobacteriota; Desulfobacteria; Desulfobacterales; Desulfobacteraceae
Also listed under: 2 other names
Description: tRNA-Thr
Rfam family: tRNA
About the family: Transfer RNA (tRNA) molecules are approximately 80 nucleotides in length.
Source: RNAcentral